UGAGUAACACGUAUCCAACCUGCCGUCUACUCUUGGCCAGCCUUCUGAAAGGAAGAUUAAUCCAGGAUGGCAUCAUGAGUUCACAUGUCCGCAUGAUUAAAGGUAUUUUCCGGUAGACGAUGGGGAUGCGUUCCAUUCGAUAGUAGGCGGGGUAACGGCCCACCUAGUCAACGAUGGAUAGGGGUUCUGAGAGGAAGGUCCCCCACAUUGGAACUGAGACACGGUCCAA
Molecule: ribosomal RNA, 229 nt
Filed under: uncultured bacterium
Lineage: Bacteria
Description: partial 16S ribosomal RNA
Rfam family: Bacterial small subunit ribosomal RNA
Source: RNAcentral